This 520-nucleotide ribosomal RNA is filed under the name uncultured bacterium. Its description in RNAcentral is "bacterial SSU rRNA". It matches the Rfam family "Bacterial small subunit ribosomal RNA", at positions 988 to 1509 of the family's 1533-position model. The record is from RNAcentral.
CCAGAGAACUUAGCAGAGAUGCUUUGGUGCCUUCGGGAACUCUGAGACAGGUGCUGCAUGACUGUCGUCAGCUCGUGUUGUGAAAUGUUGGGUUAAGUCCCGCAAGAGCGCAACCCUUAUCCUUUGUUGCCAGCGGCUCGGCCGGGAACUCAAAGGAGACUGCCGGUGAUAAACCGGAGGAAGGUGGGGAUGACGUCAAGUCAUCAUGGCCCUUACGGCCAGGGCUACACACGUGCUACAAUGGCGCAUACAAGAGAAGCGACCUCGCGAGAGCAAGCGGACCUCAUAAAAGUGCGUCGUAGUCCGGAUUGGAGUCUGCAACUCGACUCCAUGAAGUCGGAAUCGCUAAUAAUCGUAGAUCAGAAUGCUACGGUGAAUACGUUCCCGGGCCUUGUACACACCGCCCGUCACACCAUGGGAGUGGGUUGCAAAAGAAGUAGGUAGCUUAACCUUCGGGAGGGCGCUUACCACUUUGUGAUUCAUGACUGGGGUGAAGUCGUAACAAGGUAGGCGUAGCGAG